GUGGGGAAUAUUGGACAAUGGGCGAAAGCCUGAUCCAGCCAUGCCGCGUGUGUGAGGAAGGUCUUCGGAUUGUAAAGCACUUUAAGUUGGGAGGAAGGGCAGUAAGUUAAUACCUUGCUGUUUUGACGUUACCGACAGAAUAAGCACCGGCUAACUUCGUGCCAGCAGCCGCGGUAAUACGAAGGGUGCAAGCGUUAAUCGGAAUUACUGGGCGUAAAGCGCGCGUAGGUGGUUUUGUAAGUUGGAGGUGAAAUCCCCGGGCUCAACCUGGGAACUGCCUCCAAAACUGCAUGGCUAGAGUACGGUAGAGGGUAGUGGAAUUUCCUGUGUAGCGGUGAAAUGCGUAGAUAUAGGAAGGAACACCAGUGGCGAAGGCGACUACCUGGACUGAUACUGACACUGAGGUGCGAAAGCGUGGGGAGCAAACAGGAUUAGAAACCCUAGUAGUCC
Molecule: ribosomal RNA, 450 nt
Filed under: uncultured bacterium
Lineage: Bacteria
Description: bacterial SSU rRNA
Rfam family: Bacterial small subunit ribosomal RNA
Source: RNAcentral